GAUGAACGCUGGCGGCGUGCUUAACACAUGCAAGUCGAACGGAAAGGCCCAAGCUUGCUUGGGUACUCGAGUGGCGAACGGGUGAGUAACACGUGGGUGAUCUGCCCUGCACUUCGGGAUAAGCCUGGGAAACUGGGUCUAAUACCGGAUAGGACCACAUUUUGGAUGGUGUGGUGGAAAGUUUUUCGGUGUGGGAUGAGCUGGCGGCCUAUCAGCUUGUUGGUGGGGUAAUGGCCUACCAAGGCGUCCACGGGUAGCCGGCCUGAGAGGGUGUACGGCCACAUUGGGACUGAGAUACGGCCCAGACUCCUACGGGAGGCAGCAGUGGGGAAUAUUGCACAAUGGGCGCAAGCCGGAUGCAGCGACGCCGCGUGGGGGAUGACGGCCUUCGGGUUGUAAACUCCUUUCGCUAGGGACGAAGCGUUAUGUGACGGUACCUGGAGAAGAAGCACCGGCUAACUACGUG
RNAcentral lists this ribosomal RNA (466 nucleotides) under uncultured bacterium. RNAcentral describes it as "partial 16S ribosomal RNA". It matches the Rfam family "Bacterial small subunit ribosomal RNA", at positions 28 to 507 of the family's 1533-position model. The record is from RNAcentral.